Molecule: ribosomal RNA, 528 nt
Filed under: uncultured bacterium
Lineage: Bacteria
Description: bacterial SSU rRNA
Rfam family: Bacterial small subunit ribosomal RNA
Source: RNAcentral
AGAGUUUGAUCCUGGCUCAGAUUGAACGCUGGCGGCAGGCUUAACACAUGCAAGUCGAGCGGAAACGAUGGGAGCUUGCUCCCAGGCGUCGAGCGGCGGACGGGUGAGUAACGCGUAGGAAUCUGCCCAGUAGAGGGGGAUAGCCCGGGGAAACUCGGAUUAAUACCGCAUACGCCCUACGGGGGAAAGCAGGGGAUCUUCGGACCUUGCGCUAUUGGAUGAGCCUGCGUGAGAUUAGCUAGUUGGUGGGGUAAUGGCCUACCAAGGCGACGAUCUCUAGCUGGUCUGAGAGGAUGAUCAGCCACACUGGGACUGAGACACGGCCCAGACUCCUACGGGAGGCAGCAGUGGGGAAUAUUGGACAAUGGGGGCAACCCUGAUCCAGCCAUGCCGCGUGUGUGAAGAAGGCCUUAGGGUUGUAAAGCACUUUCAGUAGGGAGGAAGGCCCUGUAGUUAAUACCUGCAGGGAUUGACGUUACCUACAGAAGCAGCACCGGCUAACUCCGUGCCAGCAGCCGCGGUAAUUUC